AUACGGAGGGGACAAGCGUUAUUCGGAAUCACUGGGCGUAAAGGACGCGUAGGCGGGUUAUUAAGUCGGGUGUGAAAUCCAAUGGCUCAACCAUUGAACUGCAUUCGAAACUGAUAACCUAGAGUAUGGAAGGGGCAGGUGGAAUUAGUGGUGUAGGGGUAAAAUCCGUAGAUAUCACUAGGAAUACCGAAAGCGAAGGCGACCUGCUGGGACAUUACUGACGCUGAGGCGUGAAAGCGUGGGGAGCAAGCAGGAUUAGAAACCCCAGUAGUCC
This 274-nucleotide ribosomal RNA is filed under the name uncultured bacterium. RNAcentral's name for it is "partial 16S ribosomal RNA". It matches the Rfam family "Bacterial small subunit ribosomal RNA", at positions 523 to 796 of the family's 1533-position model. The record is from RNAcentral.